Molecule: long non-coding RNA, 223 nt
Filed under: Elaeis guineensis (African oil palm)
Lineage: Eukaryota; Viridiplantae; Streptophyta; Magnoliopsida; Arecales; Arecaceae
Description: long non-coding RNA (EGUI_LNC035727)
Source: RNAcentral
CUGGACAUCGAAAACUAUUGCUAGAUGAUAAUUUUGAUUAGUAUAGAAAAUAGUUUUCUAUGCUAUCGGCUUAGUAUUCAAACUUAUAGAAUCAUGCAUAAAGUAAGGUAAAGUAGUAAAGAAUCGACAAAAGUCUAUGAGUUCAUUUUGAAAGUAUGUGACUUAAUUGAAUAAAAAAAUUAGCUUAAUUAAAAAUUAAAUUAAAGGUCAUAUAAAAUUAAAG